Parus major (Great Tit) is the source of this 4958-nucleotide long non-coding RNA. RefSeq lists it as uncharacterized. The transcript has 2 exons. The record is from RefSeq and is a predicted model, not a curated record. Lineage: Eukaryota; Metazoa; Chordata; Aves; Passeriformes; Paridae.
UCUAGACUCUGGCAUUACUUUCUUGCUGCCUUUCACAUCUUCCUCCCUAUUUUCUAUUGAGAUUCAUUCCUUUUUUCACUUGUUGGCACUUGUUUUCUUCUUGCCAAAUCUCUUUUGUCUCACCCAUCAAACAAACACAUCAGAAAAACUUAAAUUUUUCUUGGCCUAAUUAUUUCUCUAUUACUAUUGUUUCUUGAUAGACCUACACUGUGUUUUAAAAAGUUACACAUCAAGUGAGUAGAUCAGAAUAUAGUUGGGCUGAUGGUUUAAAGUAAGAAAUUAAGCAGAAGAGGACCUGCUUUUAAUGUUUGCCUUCCUUCUCCCUCUCUCCUCUUCUGCUUUGCUUUAUUUAUGCUGAUGGAUUGUAAUAAAUGCAUCAUGGUUGAAAAAAGGCAGAGCCUUACUAGUAACAGUAGGGAUACAUAAACUAAACAUUUCCAGGCACCAUUAUAUCCAUAAAUAACAAAAUUACUUAAAAAUUGUUUUUCCAUUUUUUGAAAAAUGAAGUACAAAUUUAAGCCAUAAACAUGAUUAUCUUUCAAUAGACUCACAUAAAAACAUUUGCAGUUUUUCUUCAAAUUUGUUAACAAAUUAACAUUAUGUUGGUAGGUAGGGUCCAAUUCACUGAGGGCUCUCUCUGAAUUAUGCUGUUACAGAAAAAUAAAGGCCAUAUCUGCUAAUAAUAUUAUGGGAGGCUCUUGCUCCCCACUUCUAUGUGGAUAUCUUUUUGUUUUGAGUAAGGGCUGUUCUGUUACUGAAAUUCUGUUCAUCUGGUUGUUUCUUUGCAAGUAAAUGGUAAAAUAAUUUCUUCAUGUUCUGUAACUCCAAACUUGAAGUGGUCUGGCAGUUUUUAAUCCUAAGCACUAUAAAUCAUAGUGAUUCCUGUGGGCUGGCAGACCGUGAUAGUGCCAGCCCACGCAGAAGCUGAGAAACAGCUUUUUUUCAUUUGUGUAUUUUUUGAGUAAUUAGAAGACAUAAUUUCUGUAAGUUCAAACUCCCUUAGCUCUCCCUCAGCCAUAUUUGCUCACUUCAUUGACCCCAAGUGUUGCUGAAGCAGGAAGAGGAGAUGAUAGCUCUUGAACUUGGGACUUUCAUCACAGACAUUGAUUUUAAAAUCAGAUUUCCCUGCUGAAGGGCGUUGGAAUUCUGCACAGACAUUGCUGUUACCAGAGGAUGGUAAACUGAGAAUCUAGAGACUCUGGAGGAUAAGUCAUUAGGCUAGACCACCAAAAAUGGACCGUGGGGACCAGAGUUCUGUAGCAAUCCUGUCAAAAUCCUAAACCAUUAAAUCAUGCAGUCCCAAGGCAGAGCCGCCUGCACCCCACUUUACGGUUCCAGUUCUGUAGAACUCUUUGGUUUUCAAGCCACUCUCUAUCAUUUUACUCAUUUUUACAGUAUUUGGCAUGAGACCAGACUGUUCUGGUAUUCCAGAGGUAAACUGUGGGUUCAAGGGCUGCAUCAGCCUUUUGCACAGAACCGCAUUUUAUCUUCAAAAAGCACUGGUGCAUGGCAUGAGGUGUAAAUAAGGAACACUCACCUCCAUUAAUGUUAGUGAAAAGCUGGAGUUCUUUCCCUUCCUGUUCCAGUAUUGUACACUAUGUGAAUUUCUCAUUGCAAAGUUCUGUAUUAGCUGAGAGGUCAGAAAGCCACACAAGUCUGAAAAACUUCUUUCAUGUAAAUAAAUGUGUUUAAGAUUUCAACUUUAGUAAAACUAUCAUAUUCUUCUUCUCCAGUUGGAUGUCACUUCUUUAAUUCAAUUAAAUGUAUUUCCAAUAGGCAGGUAACCAAUAAACACCGUCCUUGAUCUGAUGCUACCACUGCACAAACAAGGAAGUAAAUGCAGAAAGUCCUGAUCCCUGGUAGUAACAGAAAAAUCUUAUCAGUUUGCCAAAGAAAAGCAAAGUCAUCUACUGCUAAUAAAUCACCAGUUCACUACAUUGAAACAAAGGGAGACGUGUUUUUUUUAUUGAAGUUGUUUAAACUGUUUCAUUUAAUGAUGCAUCUUUCCCUUCUGCUGUGACUUCUUUUAUAAUUCAGUAAAGCCUAAAUAUUUUUUGACUGUUAUCACUAUGCUGCCCAUGCUGUUAGCAUUAUUAAAUAUGUUAGCAUUAUACUGCCAUUACUGUGUUUAUUUUUCCUCUUGGCAAAGACUUUGAAUGAAACAUGCUGUGGUCAGAAAAAAUUAAUUAAUCUUCAAGACUGGAGUAUCCACCUCACUCCCUAAAGCAGAAAUCCACAGCACAAUCCUAGGCACAAUGACUUGCAGUUCUAGUCAUUGCCUCAUUGCCAAACUCUUGGCCAUAAUUCCUGUGUUACAAUAGCAUGUUUUACAAAGUAGAUGAAAAAACAUUAGUUUGGAGUUAUGUGAACAUUUUAUACUGAUUUCAGGGAGACAUGGAAUUAAUACAGUAAAUACUGUGGUGGUUGAGUAUAUGUACUAGUAUGUGUUUUUUGAAAAUUCUCUUUCUUCUUAAGAAAAAUUAAAAUGUUUAGGAACUGGGUAUGUCUCUGCUCAAGUUCCUGUAUUUUUAUUAGUUCACAGAGGAAGUGUUUCCACUACACAAAACAGGGUGUUACAGGGAGGUUUGUGGUUGAGGAAAUACUGUUGAGAGUGUCACUUCUCAGUAGGUGUGAAGGGCACAGGUGUACACACCCUCUGCAGUAAACAGAAUUACCACCAAAGUCAUAGAUGGAUUCCCUCAAUAAAGAACCAAAAUGUUUGACCUUCCUAUCUGCUUCUAGAAAUCCUCACAGUUGUCUGGCUGGCAGUGCCACAGGUAUAACCUGCAUUCCUUAAGGAAUAGUACAGCACAGGGUAUUGCUGUAGCUACAGAACAUUUGUUGAAACAAAGCGUAAUCAGUUUCAAAAAGCAAAAGCUAAGUGAAGUUCUUCAUCUACUGGCCUUUUUUGUUCUUCACUAGACAGAUAAAAGAAUUAAUAGCAACCCAACAAAGAAGGGAGAUAUGGGCAACACUCCAAUAUUAUUUUUUUCAUACAAUAAUCAAAGUUUUUGGUAUGGGCUGAAAAGUAAAACCUACCUUGUUUAGGAGAAAAGUGACUGUAAAACCAUCAGAUGUCUUUGUUGAACUGCACAACAGAUCAAUUAAUGCUGCAGUCUGUAAAGGAAAUUGGUAUUGACUUCCAUUCUGACCACCACAAUUUGCUGCAGGUACAUUAGUAUGUUCCAUACUUGGUUGCAUGUUAGUGUAAUGGAGUCUAAUGUUUCCCACUUGAUAUCUGUAUUACCCAUAUGACCUGGCUUUAUUGUUUCUUCCCUCCUUCCUUUUUUUUUGCACAAAAACACACCUUGCAUCAUAAACAAUAUAUAGACUCUUAAAAAAUAAAAAUUAAAAAAUUAAAACAAAAUACAAAACCAAGAAAACAAUCCUGCAGUAUGAAUAUCCCUACUUAGCCAUAACAGGUGGUGUGCUCAUUAGUAGGGUUUCAUUUUAUUAUUACUCAAACUCCAUGAGCAGCUUCCUUCUAGCUCUGACAGCUAAAAUUAGGAACUAGCUCUUCUCUUGAUCCUCCUGUCAGAGCAAUCUCAGUAAGUCUGUGGAAGAAAAAUACUCUUUCAUUGCUGCUUUACAAAGACAGUUAAUGGAGCUAAUGUAACCAGGUACCCUGCAUAGCUAUUCACAAGUGUGCAUAUCUAAAGCAUAUCUUCAUUUACAGCUAACUGCCCGUGAACCUUUAACAUUUGAUAAGCAGAGAGUUACUUUCUAUUGAAUUUUCUAUUAUAUGACUUGAACCUUGCUCUGUGGCAAGUUGAGGAAGCUAGGUUGCUUAAAAAACAUCCUCAUUUAUUUCAUCUAGAUUCUGUUUCAAGCAAAUAGAAACCAGUGUGUAACUGGCUGGGCAAUUUCUGUUUCCAGUUUAAGGUGUGUCUCUUCUGCAAUAGCUUAGAAAAUACAGAAUUGCUUAAUAGCUUCAAGAAAUGAAAGAAGACUUUACUGGAAGGGUGUUGUGGUUCUGAGUUCAGCAGCCUCUCUCAUCUGUAUUUUCUCUCCCUGUAGUCUGUUCCACUAAAUCCAAAAACACUACUGCACUAGCGAUUGUAGCACGUAAACACAACAAUAUUCGCCAUUUGUAAUUGUACCUGCCUAGUCUGAAACAGAAUUAUUUCCCCUCGGUUUAUGUUUUUGAUUGAAAGUGUCCUCUGGUUCUUCAGAAAAAAGCAGUCAGGAAUGUUUCAGAUGGAAGCAUCUGUUGUCCUGGAAACAUGAAUUCAGCACCCAAAGAAGGAAUACUUAUUUUCAUAGAAACAAAGGGCUGGCGUGAUAACUUACCUUGUUUACAUUAAAGAAUAUAAUCUGUUCUAAUUACAUUUCAAAUAUCUGUCACUUCAACUAAUUUCUACUCAUAUGAUAUAUUUUUUUCUUAGAUGUUUGUAACUGGAGGAAAGCAAUGGAGCAUACAUUCCAUGGUAUUUACCAGUAUAUGCCUUCAAGAGGUGUCUAAACUCCUUCCCAGUAACUGAUCAGCCAGUCUGUGCUAGCGGGAAGUCUCCAUGGCCCUGCUCAGCACACGGCUCCUUGUUAACGCUGGGGGCGGUGCGCCAUCGUCUGGAAAAGCCGGGAACGGCCUGGAAGGUGAAGAUAAUCUUUGUUCAUACAGGUGUGUCAGACUUGUUCUCACGGGGGGCUUGGAAACAGGAACAUGAGAAAUCUGUAAAAAAAUGCAGAAUAAUUGUAUGCUACGUUGAAAUAUGGAGCAUCAUCUUAACUAUGAAAAUGGUUUUUUACAGUGCUUUUCUCAAAAAUUCUGUUUUGCAAUUAAGAGGCCAGAUACUAGACUUAUACAGUAACUAGUUUUAUAAGGUCACAUUUCAUCAGUUUAUUUAGGGGUUUAUUAAAUAAUUUCUUUGUGUGUGCUUUGGGAAAAAGAAAUAGAAAGGUUGCCGGGACUUGGGUGUUCUUAAUGCACCUUUGAUAAAAGCAAAAUUUAGUCGGCUUGC